CCUUGUCAUGUGCUUAAGUGUUUGAUGACAGCGAUGUGAGGGCCGUGUGCAAGUGUUUAUUGAGACCCACUGAGACUAAGAUUGAUUUAAGACCUAUUCUGGCAACCGCUUUAAAUGUCUGUCAACUUCUUCCCAUACCUUAUGAACAGCAGUGAGAAGUCGAAAAAAACCCCCAAGGAACGUGCAGGUUUUCUGAUAAAUUUUCUGUCAUACUUUCAAAAAACCAAAACCCUAAAGGACAAUUUGGGCCAGCGGUACCAAGGUGAACAAGAAGGUUAGAAGAAUACAGGGUCAUCAUCUGGCUCAGGGAAGGUCAUAGAUUCACCAGAUCAUAGAAUGGAACCAGCUUUUUCACACACAUCUAUCUCCAGAAAUCAAGAUACAGCAAGGAUCCGUGGCAAGUCAGACGCGAUGCAGGGGCUUUAAAGAGAAACUGCUCGGUCAGAACUGACCAAAGUAGCAGAAAUAAAAGUUGUGAACCAUUAGUCCAACAAAAUCACGCCAGUAAAUCUUGAUUCUAGCAGAAUGGCGUCUACAAGAAUAUCACUUGUUUGGUUUUGUGUUAAACUCAUUCACAUUGAGUGGGAUGUAUUUGGAAUAGGGUUUUUUUCAGUGACUGAUUCUUAAACAUCCCAAUUGGUCCACCCUAUUUUGAAUAUUGGAUUUGUUGAACUUUGUCAUAAAUACAUACACUUUGGAUUAUCAAUAUUUAGAUUAUUGGUUAAAAAAAUAAAAAAAAAAUUAUGAGAAGAAAUAUAAAAGAAAUUCCUUAAUUGUAAAUCAAAAAUUUCUAAAUAAUGAAAUGUAUGUAUUUAGAUUGUAAAAUACUGUAGAAAGUGCCUUUGGAAUGAAAAAGUAUUAAUUUUAUUUACACUGUGUAGCCAUAUAAUGCUCAUUAAGAAAUAAAAAAGAAAUUAUUGGUAAAAUGGUGUCUUUACAAGUACAUAUAUGAGAAAAAACAUUCCCAGAAGUCCCUGGAUAAAGUGUAACAUGUCUGUUAUUUUGUUAGGGCAUUUAUACUAUUUGAUUGUUGCAUUAUUUUAGUGAUAAA
This is a long non-coding RNA of Carassius gibelio (silver crucian carp), 1051 nucleotides long. RefSeq lists it as uncharacterized. Lineage: Eukaryota; Metazoa; Chordata; Actinopteri; Cypriniformes; Cyprinidae. The record is from RefSeq and is a predicted model, not a curated record. The transcript has 5 exons.